This 1361-nucleotide long non-coding RNA is filed under the name Mus musculus (house mouse). RNAcentral's name for it is "RIKEN cDNA E330011O21 gene". The record is from RNAcentral. Lineage: Eukaryota; Metazoa; Chordata; Mammalia; Rodentia; Muridae.
CAGCUGUUCUAACACCUCCUGCCUGCCAGUACUGACUCUUUAUGCAUGGGGGCUUCCGGCUUAUCUAUACUUCGAAGACAGUGAACUAGGUAAUAUUAAAGGUUAACCAGAUAUAGGACUCCUCUGUCUUGCUACGAUGGACAGCCACAAGGAUUCACUUGAAUAAAAGAAGCAACAGUGGGUGCCAGGCUGUUUGCGGACCUGGGUUUGGUGUCUAACAUCCAUGUGGUGGCUCACAUCCAUCAGUAACUCCAUUCGAGGAGAUCCAAUACCCUCUACUGCCCUCCUCUAGUACCACACAGUGCUGUGGAUUGAAUGGCGGGCCUUGCACAGAAAUGUGCUGUUUUGUUAUACAUUUAUUACAAAGAAUCUCACAAAAAGAAAAUAUUUCAAAAAGAAUGCCAGGCUAAAGAACCUCCACCUGGAGAACUGGGGGAAGGCAGGGCAAUGUAAGUUCUUCUGCCUGCCCAAGACCUGUGGAAGAUAUAAACAGAACCAGUCUAAAAAUGGCUGAUAUUACCCAAGCCUGAAAAGGGCUCACAGAACACCAAGUCACCCCUGCUAGAAAGCUUAAUCAGGGCAUCUUAACAGAGCUCCUAAGCAGGCUUGGCAGUUCAGGAUUUUGUCUUCUGGUUGUUUUCUUUUCCACUUAGAAUAUCAACGUCAACAUACAGCACCCUCUGGCCAUACUUUAGCAGUUCCAGGAUGGCCAAGACGACAUCGUUGAUGUAACAGAAACCUGAGGCGUCAGACUUCUUUACAUGAUGCAGUCCCCCAGCCUGGCUCGCAGUGAUGUCCCUCUGAUGUGUAUCAAGUUUCACAGCACUUUCCAAAGAGCCACCAAUAGACAACUGACAACUCAGACAGGCCAUCGAUUACCGGGAAGUCCUCACCAACGCGGAAUCUCUGCAUCUGCUUGCUGUAUUUAGACACAUUAUCUGGGCGAAUAGAGCACAAGAGUUUAAUGUAGUCAUCACUGUGGGACUUGGUCAUCUCCUCAGCGUUGGCUCUGUGAGGACGAUAGAUUUCCAUUUUUUGGUAGAGAUGUAGUUGAGCUGCAAAUCACGAGUCAUGUGGAUUCGGUGAGGCUUCAUUGGGUGGCCCUGUCCAUAAGAUAGUUUCCAACAUCCCUGUUAACAGACGUUCCUCUUGCCCUGAGUCUGUGCCAUCUUUCUCACCACCCAGUGCUCCUGCCAGUCUGAUGUUUUAAUAUUUUUAGAUGGUGAUGCUUUGAGUUUAAAUGGCCUUUGACAAAUUCUAUCCUAAUUUCUAAUUAAGACAAGGAAAGAAAACAAAGAUGGAUAAGGACCAUAAAGUAAUGAAUGGACUGGAAACAGAAGUAAACUUAUUCAACAAUAAAA